CUCCGAACUGUUGAGUUCAGUUCAGGGCAGCUUCCCUGUUCUGUUCAUUAAACUUUGGGAUAUUUAAAUUGGCUAAAAGGAAAUGAUUGAAUACAGAGUAUUGCUCCACAUACUUCCUAGUGCACACCA
Molecule: small nucleolar RNA, 129 nt
Organism: Cricetulus griseus (Chinese hamster)
Lineage: Eukaryota; Metazoa; Chordata; Mammalia; Rodentia; Cricetidae
Source: Ensembl